This 207-nucleotide ribosomal RNA is filed under the name uncultured bacterium. Its description in RNAcentral is "partial 16S ribosomal RNA". It matches the Rfam family "Bacterial small subunit ribosomal RNA", at positions 568 to 774 of the family's 1533-position model. The record is from RNAcentral.
CGCGUAGGCGGCCUGUUAAGUCUGGAGUGAAAGUCCUGCUUUUAAGGUGGGAAUUGCUUUGGAAACUGGCGGGCUGGAGUGCAGGAGAGGUUAGUGGAAUUCCCGGUGUAGCGGUGAAAUGCGUAGAGAUCGGGAGGAACACCAGUGGCGAAGGCGACUAACUGGACUGUAACUGACGCUGAAGCGCGAAAGUGUGGGGAGCAAACA